GACGAACGCUGGCGGUAUGCUUAACACAUGCAAGUCGAACGAGAAGUUUUUUAUUGAACCUUCGGGGGAUAUAAGAGACAGACAGUGGCGAACGGGUGAGUAACGCGUGGGCAACCUACCUAUCGGAGCGGGAUAGCCUCGAGAAAUCGGGAGUAAAACCGCAUAACACGGAUAUAUCGCAUGAUGAAUCCGUCAAAACUCCGGUGCCGAUAGAUGGGCCCGCGUCUGAUUAGCUAGUUGGUAAGGUAAGGGCUUACCAAGGCAACGAUCAGUAGCCGGUUUGAGAGGGCGAACGGCCACACUGGAACUGAGACACGGUCCAGACUCCUACGGGAGGCAGCAGUGGGGAAUAUUACGCAAUGGGGGCAACCCUGACGCAGCAAUACCGCGUGAGUGAAGAAGGUUUUCGGAUCGUAAAGCUCUGUUAUUGGGGAAGAAGCAGGACGGUACC
Molecule: ribosomal RNA, 451 nt
Filed under: Pseudoramibacter alactolyticus
Lineage: Bacteria; Bacillati; Bacillota; Clostridia; Eubacteriales; Eubacteriaceae
Description: bacterial SSU rRNA
Rfam family: Bacterial small subunit ribosomal RNA
Source: RNAcentral